Molecule: ribosomal RNA, 424 nt
Filed under: Verrucomicrobiota bacterium
Lineage: Bacteria; Pseudomonadati; Verrucomicrobiota
Description: Verrucomicrobia bacterium partial 16S ribosomal RNA
Rfam family: Bacterial small subunit ribosomal RNA
Source: RNAcentral
UGAGGAAUAUUGGUCAAUGGGCGAGAGCCUGAACCAGCCAAGUAGCGUGCAGGAUGACGGCCCUAUGGGUUGUAAACUGCUUUUAUAUGGGAAUAAAGUGAGGGACGUGUCCCUUAUUGCAUGUACCAUACGAAUAAGGACCGGCUAAUUCCGUGCCAGCAGCCGCGGUAAUACGGAAGGUCCAGGCGUUAUCCGGAUUUAUUGGGUUUAAAGGGAGCGUAGGCUGUUUGUUAAGCGUGUUGUGAAAUGUAAGAGCUCAACUUUUAGAUUGCAGCGCGGACUGGCAGACUUGAGUGCGCACAACGUAGGCGGAAUUCAUGGUGUAGCGGUGAAAUGCUUAGAUAUCAUGACGAACUCCGAUUGCGAAGGCAGCUUACGGGAGCGCAACUGACGCUAAAGCUCGAAGGUGCGGGUAUCGAACAGG